This is a non-coding RNA of Schistosoma margrebowiei, 49 nucleotides long. NCBI's taxonomy places the organism in Eukaryota, Metazoa, Platyhelminthes, Trematoda, Strigeidida, Schistosomatidae. The record is from Rfam.
AUCCAACUAAUGAGGAGUCCCACAAUAGGACGAAACGACCGUCCAGUAU